Non-coding RNA from Pelobates cultripes (western spadefoot toad), 254 nucleotides. The record is from the annotation of a GenBank genome assembly. NCBI's taxonomy places the organism in Eukaryota, Metazoa, Chordata, Amphibia, Anura, Pelobatidae.
CAGUAAGCAGGAGCUAAGGCAGCAAUUAUACAUGUUCCUCCAUCUAUAUCAAUUACACACCUUCCAAGUGUCCCUAUGUUUCUCUUUUCAAUCCUAAUUUCCAUCUUUUCUAAGAGCUCCGUAUUGUUGGUGUGUCUGAGUGUAUAACAGAGCUCCACAGUAACAAUACUCCCAGUAAUGUGUCUGAGUGUAUAACAGAGCUCCAUAGCAAUAACACUCCCAGUAAUGUGUCUUAGUGUAUAACAGAGCUCCAC